GACGAACGCUGGCGGCGUGCCUAAUACAUGCAAGUAGAACGCUGAAGGAGGAGCUUGCUCUUCUGGAUGAGUUGCGAACGGGUGAGUAACGCGUAGGUAACCUGCCUGGUAGCGGGGGAUAACUAUUGGAAACGAUAGCUAAUACCGCAUAAGAGUAGAUGUUGCAUGACAUUUGCUUAAAAGGUGCAAUUGCAUACCUACCAGAUGGACCUGCGUUGUAUUAGCUAGUUGGUGGGGUAACGGCUCACCAAGGCGACGAUACAUAGCCGACCUGAGAGGGUGAUCGGCCACACUGGGACUGAGACACGGCCCAGACUCCUACGGGAGGCAGCAGUAGGGAAUCUUCGGCAAUGGACGGAAGUCUGACCGAGCAACGCCGCGUGAGUGAAGAAGGUUUUCGGAUCGUAAAGCUCUGUUGUAAGAGAAGAACGAGUGUGAGAGUGGAAAGUUCACACUGUGACGGUAUCUUACCAGAAAGGGACGGCUAACUACGUG
Molecule: ribosomal RNA, 495 nt
Filed under: uncultured bacterium
Lineage: Bacteria
Description: partial 16S ribosomal RNA
Rfam family: Bacterial small subunit ribosomal RNA
Source: RNAcentral